AGAGUUUGAUCCUGGCUCAGGAUGAACGCUGGCGGCGUGCCUAAUACAUGCAAGUCGAGCGAACAGAUAAGGAGCUUGCUCCUUUGAAGUUAGCGGCGGACGGGUGAGUAACACGUGGGUAACCUACCUAUAAGACUGGGAUAACUUCGGGAAACCGGAGCUAAUACCGGAUAACAUUUAGAACCGCAUGGUUCUAAAGUGAAAGAUGGUUUUGCUAUCACUUAUAGAUGGACCCGCGCCGUAUUAGCUAGUUGGUAAGGUAACGGCUUACCAAGGCGACGAUACGUAGCCGACCUGAGAGGGUGAUCGGCCACACUGGAACUGAGACACGGUCCAGACUCCUACGGGAGGCAGCAGUAGGGAAUCUUCCGCAAUGGGCGAAAGCCUGACGGAGCAACGCCGCGUGAGUGAUGAAGGGUUUCGGCUCGUAAAACUCUGUUAUUAGGGAAGAACAAAUGUGUAAGUAACUGUGCACAUCUUGACGGUAUCUAAUCAGAAAGCCACGGCUAACUACGUG
This 517-nucleotide ribosomal RNA is filed under the name uncultured Staphylococcus sp. RNAcentral describes it as "bacterial SSU rRNA". It matches the Rfam family "Bacterial small subunit ribosomal RNA", at positions 8 to 507 of the family's 1533-position model. Lineage: Bacteria; Bacillati; Bacillota; Bacilli; Caryophanales; Staphylococcaceae. The record is from RNAcentral.